Molecule: long non-coding RNA, 3794 nt
Organism: Rhineura floridana
Lineage: Eukaryota; Metazoa; Chordata; Lepidosauria; Squamata; Rhineuridae
Exons: 4
Source: RefSeq, a predicted model, not a curated record
CGCUCACGCCACCAGCACGCGCUUGACUUAUAUCCCUGCCCAGAAACACGCCCCACUGCUAGGAGGCAACCGGUUUCACUGGUACUGACUCAGUUCGCAGUAGUCGGCGAACAGGUUAGGCUUCGGUCAGAGCUAUGCACCUUUACUUGGGAGUAAACCUCAUCGAAGUCAAUGGGAUUUCUUCAUUCUGGACGUGACAAUUCUCAUUGAUUUCAACGGGGAUUAUUCCCGGGCAUAUGUUUGCAGCCUCGGUUUUCUCUAUUUCUCCAGGGUUUAUAUUCUAUUCCUGACAGAGCCAGGGGCUCUUCUGAAGCUGCAGUGUUUUCUGCGACGCUCCCAUACUCCCCACCCCAGAGCUUCCAAACUCAAAGUGAGAUAUAAACUCGCCAGUCUCAGUCUAGACAGACAAGGAAGCAUCCCCUUUUCUAAGAAAAGCCACCUUGUACAUACUCAGUGAGUUCUUUCUUCCGAGCCCCAAAAAGAACUUGCCCCCAAAAGAUGUAGAAGGAAGGGGAAAGAGAUGCGCACGUCCUCAAAAGCACUCAGACCAAUUCAGAACUAGAUCUUUGAAAACAAACUCAUUUAGUUGUGGGGCGUUUAUGCUAAUACAGUUGCUUUUGUUCACGGUCGAUAAUCUUGUCAUUAAGGUUCGGCAUUGUAAUGAGUUGAGUCUGUUGGAUUUUUAUGACAAAUCCGUUAAGAAUGGGUGUUCGUCCUAAAGCUGAGUAUACCUCCUUUAUUUAAACUGUGUCAUUUCUCUGGGGGCCUGGAUGUCAUAUUUUGCUACCUGCCAUUACUUUACUAUGCCCCCAUCCCAUACUGUGUAUCUUUGAGCGAGCCUCCCAUUGUACAAGUAAGAAAUUGACGAAUGAGCCCUCAGCACAUUUCCGGUAGCUCUUGGUAAGUGAUGGCAAUGCCUGCAAAUGGACUUCUUUGUAAUAGAAGUCUGGUCACAAGCAAGUCUGAAAUCCAGCUAGCAAAGUUUAUUCCCAGUUCCUGCAUCACAGAAGAAACAAUUGUUCAUAUUCUAAAACAUGGAACUUUUGAGUCAAGCAGCCCUCCCACAAUCUUGUGGUGUGACCUUUGGCAAAUUGUUACCUCCCUGCCAUGAUUAGAUAAAGAAUGCCAGAAAAAUCUUUUGAGAUCCUCAGUGAAGAAAGCACUAUAAAACUGUUGGUGAUGCUGUUCCUUUUAACAAAUAGACCAAGGACUGAAGAAGCUAUCCUGCAACAUCUGGUCCAGGGGAAACCCCCUUUUUUUGCACAUGCUAGGAAUUAAGUGCAUAAAUAAAAGGAAGCAACAAUUAUGAUUUUGUUAUUUACAUCACGGCUGUCAGCCAAAAGGUCUGGGUGCCUUAUCAGUUUCUUUGCAGUCCCAAACAUGGUCUUUGCUACACACACAAAACUGGAGCAGCAUCUGGGCUAGGAAGCAAUACGCUUAGGAACAGCAGAAGAACUGACCUAAUUCUACUACUGCUUGCCUAAACACAAGGAUUUAGGAACGUUUAAUAUGCAUUGUGAACCACCCUCGAAUGAAGAACUUGAAGGGCAGUAUACAAAUCUAUGGAAAGCAUCACUAGGAGCCGUAAGAUGCGCUCGUUUUUCGUUAGAUCUGAAGGCAGUUCAUUUUUCUGAAACAAGACACAAGUUGGUUGGAAAUCAGAGAGAGGAUUUUCUCCAUCUGGCUUACAUAUACCAGAGCUCAAGGAACAUUCUCCAAGAGCAUCUGCAUUCAACUGUGGGCUAUGCCCACACUUCUUAUUAAAGAAUACAUCAAUGUUGUAUUAUUGAGCCUUUCAUCAUCCUUGUUUAUCAGAGACUAUAAUUCAAGGUAGGCUUGUGAAGAAUUGUUCAGAUUAGGGGUGGCUAGCCUAUGGCCCUCCAGUAAUUGCUGGACUACAAGUCCCAUCAUCCCUAACUACUGGCCACACUGGCUGCUCUUAUGGAGUUGGAAUCCAAUAACAUCUGAAGAGCCACAGUUUACCCAUCCCUAGCUUAGGUCUAAGAGGGUCUUGUUCAAACAACCUCACCUGGAUCCAGUGAUUUGCCAGAAGGUUCCUUGACCUUCAGGAGCAGCUUCCAUGGAAGGAUCUGAAUUCUCAGUUUCUCAUAUUUCCAUUCUUAAAGUUCAGUUCUUCACAUUUCUGCAUCAAUUUGCAAUUUUUUUUAAAAAAUCCUUGUGAAAAUCUUCAAUAUUUUAAUGGGAAUUUGUCUUAAUAAACAUGUUUUUGUAUGCAGUUGUGAAUAAUGUACACAUUAUGUAUGCAGUUGUGAAUAAUGUACACAUUUUGCAAGCUAUUUCUCCUAAUGCAUUGCAUUUUUAUGUUAUUUUCACAAUAUAUUCAUUUGUAUGUACACUUUCCCCCAAUAUAUGCAUUUUUGUAAACAAUGGUUGGAGAACUGCAUCACAAAAUUCGGAUAACUGAAUUUCAAAGGAUGGCUGUGUUUUGGUUCUCAUAUUGUUUUGAUAAGUGUGAAUUUGAUAGAUUCAGCUUUAAAUGUGAACUGAACCAAAUUUCUCCCCCAUCCCUACUUCUGACACGCGGGACUGUAAUGGGGGGAAGAGCUAGGAAAUCCCCACUGCAUGAGUGGAGUUCUGCUUGCCCUUUUCUGGGGCUGAAAGGACCUUAGACAACUCCUUGAAAUUUCGGACUAAAACCAAGAGUGGAUUCACUGCCCCACUGACAUUGGAGCCAGCAGCUUCCACUGUUCCUUUGCAGGCGUGGCUAAUGCGUGUAGCACCUGCCAAGAAAGAAGCAACCAGGAGCACUUUUGAUUUUUUCCUUUGAAGCUGAGUCACCUGAUGUCAUGGUGAUGUAAGGAGACUGCCAGGUGGGCAACCCCGCCUCCCUGUCAAAGCUCAGAAUCUGCUGAUCCAAUUCACCCACCACAGCAGUAAAUUAGUAACAGAAAAUAAAGAUGUAACGUAAGACUUGCAUGUAUUUGGCUGGGGUGUACUAGUUAACCUAUUAACAAAAGUUUAUGCUGUAGCUCGUAUAUAAACAACUUAAAGGAGACCUUUUUUCAGAGAUAUCAGAACAGCUGCCAAACACACAAUGACUGAAUACUUAUGUAGUGGUCAUAACUGGGGUAAAUUACUUAAUUUCCUUAGGAACUUUCCCCUCACAAAUGUAUACAUACAUGUAAUUUGGGUUGCACACAUCCUAGAAUUUGUUUACUAGGAAGAAAUAUCUAUGGAACUCAGUGGAACUGCCUUUCAAUUAACAUUGUUUAAUGUCAUUUAAAGUGCUUGAAAGACAUCAGACUGAAGAAUAGGUUACCAGAUAAUUCUAACACACAUUCAUAGGAUUGGGCUGCAUUAAUAUUUAGUUUUGGGGUGACUAACCUGUUACCUUCCAGAUACUGCUGAAUUAGAAUUGUAUCAUUGAAAGUCUUUGUUUCUCAGCUAUGUCUUCCUUUGGAGUUGGAGAAACAAUGUAUGUUUUUGUUGAGAGAGACAUCAAAGUAUAAUUAAAGAAUGCUUCCAGUCCUUAUCUUUGCUCCCACGGCAUGUGUUGCUCUGAGGUGGUAAGUUUGCAAAAAUUUUAAAUUGUUAUUUCCCAUUGUUCAUUUAAGUAUUUGAAUUAAUGUUCUAAAACAUGUUUAUAUCGGAAAUGUGUAACUCCAUAUGGGGCAUAUAUUAUCUCUUUACAGUUACUGAGAUUGUAUUACAAAGAGGUUUAAUUUCUGAAGAAGAGCUUGUUGCAAAGCAGGGUUAUAUCGGGAUCCUAUAAAGACCUAUGUUUAUAUCAGGAUCAAUGUUUACAUAUCUGUAUAAAGAAUGUCUAUCAUUAA